RNAcentral lists this ribosomal RNA (698 nucleotides) under uncultured Thelephoraceae. RNAcentral describes it as "eukaryotic LSU rRNA". The stretch from base 211 to 365 matches the Rfam family "5.8S ribosomal RNA". The record is from RNAcentral. Lineage: Eukaryota; Fungi; Basidiomycota; Agaricomycetes; Thelephorales; Thelephoraceae.
AGGAUCAUUACCGAAUUGUCAACAAGAGUUGUUGCUGGCCCCCGUAUGGGGGCAUGUGCACGCUCUGUUUACACAUCCACUCACACCUGUGCACGCUCUGUAGUUCUAUGGCCUGGGGGGCUCUGUCCUCCUGCUGUGGUUCUACGUCUUUACACACACACUGUAAUAAAGUCUCAUGGAAUGUAUGUCGCGUUUAACGCAGUGAAAUACAACUUUCAGCAACGGAUCUCUUGGCUCUCGCAUCGAUGAAGAACGCAGCGAAAUGCGAUAAGUAAUGUGAAUUGCAGAAUUCAGUGAAUCAUCGAAUCUUUGAACGCACCUUGCACCCUUUGGCUAUUCCGAAGGGCAUGCCUGUUUGAGUAUCAUGAACACCUCAACUCUCAUGGCUUGCCGUGAUGAGCUUGGACUUUGGGGGUCUUGCUGGCUUGCAGUCAGCUCCUCUCAAAUAAAUUAGCUUGCCGGUGUUUGGUGGGAUCACAGGUGUGAUAACUAUCUACGCUUGUGGUUUCCCACCAGGUAACCUUCAGCAAUGGAGGUUCGCUGGAGCUCAUAAAUGUCUCUCCUCAGUGAGGACAGAUUUUGACCAUUUGAUCUCAAAUCAGGUAGGACUACCCGCUGAACUUAAGCAUAUCAAUAAGCGGAGGAAAAGAAACUAACAAGGAUUCCCCUAGUAACUGCGAGUGAAGCGGGAAGAGCUC